UCAAGUGACUAAGAGCACAUGGCGGAUGUCUUGGCGUCAAGAGGCGAUGAAGGACGUGGGAACCUGCGAAAAGUUCAGGGGAGCCGGUAACCAGGCUGUGAUCCUGAAAUGUCCGAAUGGGGAAACCCGGCCGUAAGGUCACUCUUACCUGAAUGCAUAGGGUAAGAGAGCGAACCUGGGGAACUGAAACAUCUAAGUACCCAGAGGAAAGGAAAUCAACCGAGACUCCGUGAGUAGCGGCGAGCGAAAGCGGAUUGCGACUUAAGUCAGUGAACGCGUUGGAAAGCGCGGCCAAAGAAGGUGAUAGCCCUGUAGUUGGAUGAUGUCGCUCAGCCCUAGAGUAGCGUCGGUGUCGUGAAACCCGGCGUGAACAUGGGGGGUCCACCCUCCAAGGCUAAGUACUACUUGACGACCGAUAGUUAACCAGUAAGGCGACUGAAUGAUGAAAACUACCCCUGCUAGGGGUGUGAAAGAGUAGCUGAAACCAUGUGCUUACACAGCGGUCAGAGCCCUUCGGGGUGAUGGCGUGCCUUUUGCAUAAUGACCCGGCGAGUUACUCUCAUUGGCGAGGUUAAGGCCUAGCGGGCCGAAGCCGAAGCGAAAGCGAGUCUGAAAUAGGCGUUGAGUCGAUGGGAGUAGACGCGAAACCUUGUGAUCUACCCAUGGGCAGGCUGAAG
This 677-nucleotide ribosomal RNA is filed under the name Pseudo-nitzschia fraudulenta. RNAcentral describes it as "partial Bacterial large subunit ribosomal RNA". It matches the Rfam family "Bacterial large subunit ribosomal RNA", at positions 3 to 750 of the family's 2925-position model. The record is from RNAcentral. Lineage: Eukaryota; Bacillariophyta; Bacillariophyceae; Bacillariales; Bacillariaceae.